AGUGAACGCUGGCGGUAGGCCUAACACAUGCAAGUCGAACGGCAGCACAGUAAGAGCUUGCUCUUACGGGUGGCGAGUGGCGGACGGGUGAGGAAUACAUCGGAAUCUACUUUUUCGUGGGGGAUAACGUAGGGAAACUUACGCUAAUACCGCAUACGACCUACGGGUUAAAGCAGGGGAUCUUCGGACCUUGCGCGAUUGAAUGAGCCGAUGACGGAUUAGCUAGUUGGCGGGGUAAAGGCCCACCAAGGCGACGAUCCGUAGCUGGUCUGAGAGGAUGAUCAGCCACACUGGAACUGAGACACGGUCCAGACUCCUACGGGAGGCAGCAGUGGGGAAUAUUGGACAAUGGGCGCAAGCCUGAUCCAGCCAUGCCGCGUGGGUGAAGAAGGCCUUCGGGUUGUAAAGCCCUUUUGUUGGGAAAGAAAAGCAGCAGGUUAAUACCCCGCUGUUCUGACGGUACCCAAAGAAUAAGCACCGGCUAACUUCGUG
RNAcentral lists this ribosomal RNA (492 nucleotides) under uncultured bacterium. RNAcentral describes it as "partial 16S ribosomal RNA". It matches the Rfam family "Bacterial small subunit ribosomal RNA", at positions 29 to 507 of the family's 1533-position model. The record is from RNAcentral.